CGUCUCCUGCAGUGUUCGAUACUGGCCUGGAAACCUUUCGACCCUAAAUCUUUACCUCGGGGUCGCGCACUGUCGGCAGCAUUUGUGCAGGACCACGUAAGUGGAGAGCCUGUUGCUACCACGGCUGACCCCACCUGUUGCUCCGGUUCGAGAGCGACGGCUGGUAACGGCACAGGCGGGAGACGU
This 186-nucleotide non-coding RNA is filed under the name Gammaproteobacteria bacterium. Its description in RNAcentral is "6S RNA". It matches the Rfam family "6S / SsrS RNA". From Rfam's summary of the family: E. coli 6S RNA was the first non coding RNA to be sequenced, but its function was unknown until recently. The record is from RNAcentral. Lineage: Bacteria; Pseudomonadati; Pseudomonadota; Gammaproteobacteria.